This is a long non-coding RNA of Corvus moneduloides (New Caledonian crow), 1833 nucleotides long. The record is from Ensembl. Lineage: Eukaryota; Metazoa; Chordata; Aves; Passeriformes; Corvidae.
GUCGCUGUAACACCCGAAAUCUGGGAUCUGGGAUGGGAUUGAAAUGGGGGUUUAUUGGCACCCCUCAAAACGCUGCGCAUGCGCGCUGGCCUCCACGCGCUCCGUGCUGCCGCCUUGUGGGCACACCCGGUACUGCAGCUCCGAGCGCCCUCGGCGCUUCCCAGGCUCCGCCGGCACCGGGACACGGAGCUGGACCGGGACCACGACCGGGACAGCGACCGGGACAGCGACCGGGACCGGCCGUGCGGGACCGGCUGCCGGGGCUUCUCCCGGCGCCUCUCCCGGCAGGAACGGCGGCCGCUGUGCCGGGAGCGGCAGUGGCGGAUGAGGAAGCCAGGCCUGCUGAGGAGGAAGAUGAGGAGGUGUGGGAGGAUGGAGACAGCGGCCACCAAAGGCUGGGGAAGGCACAGAUCCAGAACAGAAGAGUGAGGAGAUGGGGAUGCUCCCAGCCAUCACAGAGAUGUGGGAACAGCCCAGUUCCAGUGAGGAAUGUGCCACAGGCUGGGGAUGCAUCCCCUGAAAACCAGUUCAGGACUGUUCAUCUGACUCUGCCCCUGACCUGUGGCUUCCAGGGAGCCUUCUGGUCUUCUGGAUAUUACCAGGAGAGGAUAUUCCAACACCUGCUUUUUGAGCCAGGAAUUCCAGACCCACAAAGAACAUCCAGAACUGCCUCCUCACCCUCAUGGACAGCAGGAAUGCCUUCCAUAGCUCUUGUUUUGGAAUGGGAAUGGCUGUUGGGAGCUCUGGCAGGAGCACCUGGAGACCAGCAGUGGGAUUGCUUUGGCUGCUGCUGGAGGACAUGGGCUGUGACAAGGGAAUUGGCCCCAGAUGGAUCACAGCAGGACUAUGGAAAUUCCCUGCACUGGGAGGUUGUGGUGCUCUGGGUUAAAUUUUGGAUUCAUAAUGUUAAAGGUGGGGUGUGGAGGGGCUUCUCUCCUGUUCAUUAUUGUUGUUAUCAAUGUUCUUGCUCUCAGUGUUACUAUGUGUUGUCAUUACUCUCAAAUGAUUGCAUUUGUCUUGGUUUCCAUUAUUAAACUGUUCUGAGCUGGAAUUUUGUCUCUGGUCUCUUCCCCAUCCCACGGGGGGUGAGGGAGCGGCUGCUGGUGCCCAGCUGGGGUCCAGCCGUGGCCCCGGGCACUUCUGGGGGCUCCGAACCCGAGGGACAGGAGCGGUUUUGGGCUCACAAAAAGAGACCCAGUGCUGCGUUUCGGGGGCUCAAAAGCAGGCGCAGAGCUUAAAAGCAGAGACUAAAUCCUGCACUGUGGAGUCCUGAGAGCAGGCUGGUAUGGCCAGAGCUGGGACUCAGAAACAGUGACUAAAUCCUGUUCUCAGGGCUUGAGGAAGAGAGCGAGUCCUGUGUGUUCGGGCUCACAAAGAGAAACGGAAGUGCUGCGUUCUGCUGGACUGAAUUAAAGCCCAAGUGCCGUGUUUUGAUGUUCAAAGCGGGCUCUUGGGGCCAGGGCGAGUCUGUGUCUCUGGGCUCCGAGUCCUGCCUCAGGCACAGCCCGAAGCCGGGCUCGCCGGCCCCACGCAGAGCUCGGGAGCAGCGACUCAGCGCCGCGUCCGGGGCUGGCGGCAGAGCCCGGGGCCGCGUCGUGGGGCCCAAGGCGGGCUCCGGGAGGGGCUCAGGGCUGGGAGCGGAGCCCGGCCCGGCGCGUCGGGCCCGGCUCGGGAUCCCGGGGCUGCCCGGGCGCCGGCACAGCCCCGGCUCCCCGCGGAGAGCCGGCCGGAGCAGGAGCGGCAGCGCCGGGCUCGGCCCCAGCGCCCGUCCCGGAGCGGCUCCUCCCGGUGCCGAUCCCAGCCCCGAUCCCGCCGGGGGAGAGGCGGCCCCGC